ACCGCGUGAGUGAUGAAGGCUCUUGGGUCGUAAAGCUCUGUCAGAGGGGAAGAACCUCCUGUCGUAUAAUACACGGCAGGGCUGACGGUACCCUCAGAGGAAGCACCGGCUAACUCCGUGCCAGCAGCCGCGGUAAUACGGAGGGUGCAAGCGUUGUUCGGAAUUAUUGGGCGUAAAGAGCGUGUAGGCGGUCUGUCAAGUCUGAUGUGAAAGCCCGGGGCUCAACCCAGGAAGUGCAUUGGAAACUGGCAGACUUGAGUACGGGAGAGGAAAGUGGAAUUUCGAGUGUAGGGGUGAAAUCCGUAGAUAUUCGAAGGAACACCAGUGGCGAAGGCGGCUUUCUGGACCGAUACUGACGCUGAGANGCGAAAGCGUGGGGAGCAAACAGGAUUAGAUACCCUGGUAGUCCACGCCGUAAACGAUGGGUACUAGGUGUUGCGGGUAUUGACCCCUGCAGUGCCAAAGCUAACGCAUUAAGUACCCCGCCUGGGGAGUACGGCCGCAAGGC
Molecule: ribosomal RNA, 508 nt
Filed under: uncultured delta proteobacterium
Lineage: Bacteria; Deltaproteobacteria
Description: bacterial SSU rRNA
Rfam family: Bacterial small subunit ribosomal RNA
Source: RNAcentral